Molecule: ribosomal RNA, 253 nt
Filed under: uncultured bacterium
Lineage: Bacteria
Description: partial 16S ribosomal RNA
Rfam family: Bacterial small subunit ribosomal RNA
Source: RNAcentral
UACGUAGGGUGCAAGCGUUGUCCGGAAUUAUUGGGCGUAAAGAGCUCGUAGGCGGUCUGUCGCGUCGGAUGUGAAAACCCAGGGCUCAACCCUGGGCCUGCAUUCGAUACGGGCAGACUAGAGUUCGGUAGGGGAGACUGGAAUUCCUGGUGUAGCAGUGAAAUGCGCAGAUAUCAGGAGGAACACCGGUGGCGAAGGCGGGUCUCUGGGCCGAUACUGACGCUGAGGAGCGAAAGCGUGGGGAGCGAACAGG